This 279-nucleotide long non-coding RNA is filed under the name Homo sapiens (human). RNAcentral's name for it is "HSALNT0073863". Lineage: Eukaryota; Metazoa; Chordata; Mammalia; Primates; Hominidae. The record is from RNAcentral.
CUGGCGGCUGUUUCCGGGCUUAGAGGGCUGGAGUGGCCGCCGAGUUGGAGGCGGUGGUGGCAGCAGUAGGAGUGUGUAGAGUGCGGGAUUGGGGCCCAGGCCCUGCGGAGGGCGGGGGAAGUUGUCUUCUUUUUUUUCCGGAGGGGCCGGUAAACCUGGUGGCUGAACGGCAAGAUGAAUUUCCUCCGCGGGGUAAUGGGGGGUCAGAGUGCCGGACCCCAGCACACAGAAGCCGAGACGAGUUUCACUCUUGUUGCCCAGGCUAGAGUGCAAUGGUGC